UUUUUUUUUUUUUUUUAUGGUCAUACCCACUGCAUAUGGAAGUUCCCAGGCCAGGGAUUGAAUCUGAGCUGUAGCUGCAACCUACACCUCAGCUGCUUCAAGGCCUGAUCCUUUAACCCACUGCACCAGACUGUGGAUCAAACAUGCAGCUGCAGUCAGAUUCCUAAUCCACUGCACCACAAUGGGAACUCCCCUUGAUUUUUUAAAAAAUAGGAAACAAAUGAAAAAAUGAUAAGAUUCAGGAAUCAAUACAGGAGGAAAUUGAAAUUGACUUGAAUAAAAACCCUGACAUUCGUUCAAUUGGGUACUGACUACGCAUUCAUCGUAUCAUUCUUAUUAUUACAAUUUUCAUAAUAAAUACAACUUGUAAAAAUUAGCUUUGGAUAAAGCCAAUUAGAGAAAGAGGUUUGGUUUGGCAAAUGCACUUUGUAAUGGUCCCAUGAUGCAACUGAAUCCAUCACCCCAUCAUAGACAGAACUGGACAACCUCAGGAUUUCCCAUAAGAUUCAAGCCUUCCCCAUAGUGUGUAAGACUGAGGAAUAGAGAAUUUGUUGAACCCUACUGACAAGCCAGGGGAUAAAGAGAGACAGAGAAAGGAAGUUAAACAGAGACGGAAACAGAGGAAGCCCAGAAAGGGUUUAACCUUUCAAGCUUGGUUCCUUCUAAUCUCAUCUAUCAGAGAAAUAUUCCCUAGUUCCUGGGACAGGGCGUGUGGGGGAAAGAGAAAGAUUGCCGAAUUCUCCCCUCCUGGGGAGUAGAAAUUUUUUCCCCUCUAUGAAAAAAAAAAAAAAAAAAAAAAGAGUGAGAGUGUGAUGCCCUGCCCAGAUCCCCCUACAAUAAGAGCCUGUUCCAAGUACAGAGUGCUAUUGGCAGUCUUUGGUAACUUCAGGAUUGCUACAUUUGCAGAAAGCUAAAUUGCUUUCUUGAUCAAGGCACCUUGAUCUCUUCCCAAAACUGUGAGAAAUAAAUUUCUGGUGUUUAAGCUACCCAAUCCCUGGCAUUUUGUCAGGGCAGCCAAGCUGCUAAAACAGGUGACUGUUCUUAGAUUGAUGCACUCUAAAAAGAUAAUGAAAAGCUGAGAGUGAUUAAUCAUCAACUGAAAGCUAAAAUGCAGGAUCUCUUUGGUAGCACAAAGUGGCUCUCAUCUCCUACAGUGGGAGAUCAGAAUAAACUCAGAGUGGCUAAUCUCCAAAGAUUAAACUUUUAGUCGAGACAGAUAUACUAAGCCCAGGUCAACGCCCUGGCUGGGAAAGACUGGGGCUUGACACAGUAGAUGAGGAUAUUCCCAGAAGUGGCCCACCCUCCUAUCCUAAGACCUAUCCUUUCCCCAUUAUUCAGAGAUGGUGGAAAGACCUCUUCCUGUUUGUAGCAACAUGGAUAGAACUAGAGAUUCUCAUGCUAAGUGAAGUAAGUCAGAAAGAGAAAGACAGAUACCAUAUGAUAUCCCUUAUACGUGGAAUUGAAAAUAUGGCACAGAUGAACCUAUCUAUAGAACAGAAACAGACUCAUAGAUGUGGACAGCAGACUUGCAGUUGCCAGGAGAGAGGGGAAGGGAAAUGGAUGGACUGGGAGUUUGGGGUUAAUAGAUGCAAACUCUUAUAUUUAGGAAGGAUAGACAAUGAAUCCUGCUGUAAAGCACAGGGAACUAUGUCCAAUCACUUGUGAUAGAACAUGAUGAAAUAAAUGAGAAAGAGAAUAUGUAUAGAUGCUAUGACUGGGUCAUGUUGCUGUACAGCAGAAACUGAUAGAACAAUGUAAAUCAAUUAUAAUAAAAACAUUUUUUUAAAGAAAAAAAAGACCUCUUCAAGAUUUGUUCUUAGGUUGUCUCCUGUCCAGUAGGCCUUAAUUGAUGUUAAGUCUCAAUGUGCUGGAUAUAAUAAUGGAGGAAAGGAAAUGUACCCCAAGGAACUUCAAUACCUGGCCAGCAUAUGCUGACAGAGUGUGUGUAGGAUUGAAUUUUUAGGGUGUUUGAUGAAAAAGAAGGGAAUACAAGGAUGGAUAAGUGAGAAAUUAGAUUUGGGAGCACUCUCCUAGUACUCAGGAUUUAAUGUCAUUAUAAAAUCCCCAAAAGACAAUGUGAAUUUACUACUAGGAUGAUUUUUUUAGAAGCAUGGAAAAAGUGAUGGUCCACAGGAAACUGGGUUAAGAUGCUGUAAUUGCCAGACAGUGAAAUUGACAGACAGUGAAAGAAAGAAUUUAAAGAAUCAGACUAGUUAUGCUGGAGAUCAUAUACUAUGCAAAGAUGAAAAAACUCACCAGAUGACUUGAUUACAGAAGGCCAGCAGGCUAUACCAUAUGUCUGGGACAUAAGAAUUGUAUGGUUGUGAGGGGCACCAGUAUCAUUAAGAGGCUGAGUAGUGACUUUCUAUAAGCCAGAACUGAAUGUAAAGGAAGUCAUUAAAGAACUAAGUUUACUGAUAGCAUCAGGGAUAAUAGGACCCCCAAAUGAUAGAGGACAGGUUGUGGGGUUUAAUGAUCAGAAAUCAAGUUGAGCAACAACAACAACAACAAAAAGACAAAAGACAAAAAAUAAAAAAAAAAAAAAAUAAAUAUUAUUAAAAAAAAAAAAAAGGAGUUCCCAUCGUGGCGCAGUGGUUAUCAAAUCUGACUAGGAACCAUGAGCCGCAGACGGAACUCCUGAUAACUAUAUUCUUUCGCACCUCUCUCAGAAAAGAGAAUUAGAAAAAGUUCUCAUUUACAUGUAACGGAAAACAAUAUACAUUUACAUUUAUGCCCC
This 2737-nucleotide long non-coding RNA is filed under the name Sus scrofa (pig). Its description in RNAcentral is "lncRNA (ENSSSCG00060061304.1)". The record is from RNAcentral. Lineage: Eukaryota; Metazoa; Chordata; Mammalia; Artiodactyla; Suidae.